RNAcentral lists this non-coding RNA (45 nucleotides) under Schistosoma mansoni. The record is from RNAcentral. Lineage: Eukaryota; Metazoa; Platyhelminthes; Trematoda; Strigeidida; Schistosomatidae.
AUCCAGUUGGCGAGUCCCAAAUAGGACGAAACGCGAGUCCUGGAU